GACGAACGCUGGCGGCGUGCUUAACACAUGCAAGUCGAACGGUGAAGCGCCUUCCUUUUUGGUGGGUGUGGAUGAGUGGCGAACGGGUGAGUAACACGUGAGUAACCUGCCCCCUUCUUCUGGAUAACCGCAUGAAAGUGUGGCUAAUACGGGAUAUUCUGGGUCUGUCGCAUGAUGGGUCUGGGAAAGAUAUUGUUUCGGUGGGGGAUGGGCUCGCGGCCUAUCAGCUUGUUGGUGGGGUGAUGGCCUACCAAGGCGGUGACGGGUAGCCGGCCUGGGAGGGUGGACGGUCACACUGGGACUGGGACACGGCCCGGACUCCUACGGGAGGCAGCAGUGGGGAAUAUUGCACAAUGGGCGCAAGCCUGAUGCAGCGACGCCGCGUGAGGGAUGGAGGCCUUCGGGUUGUGAACCUCUUUCGCCAGUGAAGCAGGCCUGCCUCGUUUGUGGGUGGGUUGACGGUAGCUGGAUAAGAAGCGCCGGCUAACUACGUG
Molecule: ribosomal RNA, 494 nt
Filed under: uncultured bacterium
Lineage: Bacteria
Description: partial 16S ribosomal RNA
Rfam family: Bacterial small subunit ribosomal RNA
Source: RNAcentral